RNAcentral lists this ribosomal RNA (123 nucleotides) under Exiguobacterium sp. SH0S1. Its description in RNAcentral is "partial 23S ribosomal RNA". It matches the Rfam family "Bacterial large subunit ribosomal RNA", at positions 2803 to 2925 of the family's 2925-position model. The record is from RNAcentral. Lineage: Bacteria; Bacillati; Bacillota; Bacilli; Caryophanales. RNAcentral also lists the same sequence under 8 other names.
GAUGAGAUUUCCCUUUGAGCAAUCAAGAAAGACCCCUCAGAGACGAUGAGGUAGAUAGGUCAUGGGUGGAAGCACGGCGACGUGUGGAGCUGAAUGAUACUAAUCGGUCGAGGCUUUGAUCUA